GUGCGACCCCAGGAUGGGCGGGGUGACCCGCUGAGUUUAAGCAUAUCAAUAAGCGGAGGAGAAGAAACUUACGAGGAUUCCCCUA
RNAcentral lists this ribosomal RNA (85 nucleotides) under Disa karooica. RNAcentral's name for it is "partial 25S ribosomal RNA". It matches the Rfam family "Eukaryotic large subunit ribosomal RNA", at positions 1 to 82 of the family's 3401-position model. The record is from RNAcentral. Lineage: Eukaryota; Viridiplantae; Streptophyta; Magnoliopsida; Asparagales; Orchidaceae. RNAcentral also lists the same sequence under 13 other names.